GGAGAGGUGACCGAGUGGCUGAAGGUGCUCGCCUGCUAAGCGAGUGUGCGUUCAAGCGUACCGUGGGUUCGAAUCCCACCCUCUCCG
This 87-nucleotide transfer RNA is filed under the name Candidatus Electryonea clarkiae. RNAcentral's name for it is "tRNA-Ser". It matches the Rfam family "tRNA". From Rfam's summary of the family: Transfer RNA (tRNA) molecules are approximately 80 nucleotides in length. Lineage: Bacteria; Pseudomonadati; Candidatus Electryoneota; Candidatus Electryoneia; Candidatus Electryoneales; Candidatus Electryoneaceae. The record is from RNAcentral.